UAUACCGGUUUUCAAGACCGGGGCUAUCAACCACUCAGCCAUCUCUCC
RNAcentral lists this transfer RNA (48 nucleotides) under Androsace cylindrica. RNAcentral's name for it is "partial tRNA-Ser". RNAcentral also lists the same sequence under 1 other name. Lineage: Eukaryota; Viridiplantae; Streptophyta; Magnoliopsida; Ericales; Primulaceae. The record is from RNAcentral.